UACGUAGGAGACGAGCGUUGUCCGGAAUUACUGGGCGUAAAGGGCGCGUAGGCGGUGUGUCAAGUCAGGCGUGAAAGCCCCGGGCUCAACCUGGGAACAGCGCUUGAGACUGGCACGCUCGAGUUCGGGAGAGGAUGGUGGAAUUCCCAGUGUAGAGGUGAAAUUCGUAGAUAUGCGGAGGAACACCGAUGGCGAAGGCAAUCCCCUGGGCCUGCACUGACGCUCAUGCACGAAAGCGUGGGGAGCAAACAGG
RNAcentral lists this ribosomal RNA (253 nucleotides) under uncultured bacterium. Its description in RNAcentral is "partial 16S ribosomal RNA". It matches the Rfam family "Bacterial small subunit ribosomal RNA", at positions 524 to 776 of the family's 1533-position model. The record is from RNAcentral.